This 445-nucleotide ribosomal RNA is filed under the name Salmonella enterica subsp. enterica. Its description in RNAcentral is "bacterial SSU rRNA". It matches the Rfam family "Bacterial small subunit ribosomal RNA", at positions 338 to 795 of the family's 1533-position model. Lineage: Bacteria; Pseudomonadati; Pseudomonadota; Gammaproteobacteria; Enterobacterales; Enterobacteriaceae. The record is from RNAcentral.
CCUACGGGUGGCAGCAGUGGGGAAUAUUGCACAAUGGGCGAAAGCCUGAUGCAGCGACGCCGCGUGAGGGAUGAAGGCCUUCGGGUUGUAAACCUCUUUCAGCAGGGACGAAGCGCAAGUGACGGUACCUGCAGAAGAAGCACCGGCUAACUACGUGCCAGCAGCCGCGGUAAUACGUAGGGUGCGAGCGUUGUCCGGAAUUAUUGGGCGUAAAGAGCUUGUAGGCGGUUUGUCGCGUCUGCUGUGAAAAUCCGGGGCUCAACCCCGGACUUGCAGUGGGUACGGGCAGACUAGAGUGUGGUAGGGGAGACUGGAAUUCCUGGUGUAGCGGUGAAAUGCGCAGAUAUCAGGAGGAACACCGGUGGCGAAGGCGGGUCUCUGGGCCACUACUGACGCUGAGAAGCGAAAGCGUGGGGAGCGAACAGGAUUAGAUACCCUUGUAGUC